UUUCCGUAGGUGAACCUGCGGAAGGAUCAUUAAAAAAUUGGACUCCAUUGGUGAGUUCAUUAAUAAUCCCUACCCUUUGUGAAUUUGUUUGUUUGAAUAAUUUUUUUUCCAAAAAAAAUUAUUGAAUGUCUUUCCCUGUUUUGGUGGAGCUUGUAAAGUGAAACCAGGCAGGGGAAUGGCAAACAAUAAUUAUUUUUGAAAAAAGACCUUUUUUAAAAUUAAACUUUUUGUAUUCAUUUGUCUAAAAUUAUUUUAUAAUAUAAAAACAACUUUUGACAAUGGAUCUCUUGGUUCUCGCAACGAUGAAGAACGCAGCAAAAUGCGAUAAGUAGUGUGAAUUGCAGAAUACGUGAAUCAUCGAAUCUUCGAACGCAUAUUGCACUUUUUUAGUUUACUAAAAAGUAUGUCUGUUUGAGUAUCAGUAAAAUAUUCUCAUAAAAAACAUUGUUUUUUUAUGGUUAUGAGUGUUUUACAACGAUAACAAGUUGUUUCACUUUAAAUUCUUUGUUAUCAAAAAAUCAUUAAAAGCUAAUUUUAAAGAUUUUUUAAAAUUGGAUAAAAUUUUCCCGUAAAAAGGAAUAACCUAAACAAUUUUAAAAAAUUAAAAUUGGUUUGAUUUUUUUGAAACCCAAAGGAAAAAAAAACGAAAUUAACUUGAUCUCAGAUCAGAUAAGAGUACCCGCUGAACUUAAGCAUAUCAAUAAGCGGAGGAAAAGAAACUAACUAGGAUUCCCUCAGUAACGGCGAGUGAAGCGGGAAGAGCUCAAAUUUGAAAUCUUCAAGGUUUUACCUUGACGAAUUGUAGUUUAAAGAAGUGUUUUCUGUUGGAGUUUUGGUAAAAGUUCUUUGGAAAAGGACAUCAUAGAGGGUGAGAACCCCGUAUUUGACCAUUAUCUCCAGCUUUGUGAUACACUUUCAAAGAGUCGGAUUGUUUGGGAAUGCAGUCCAAAUGGGUGGUAAAUUUCAUCUAAAGCUAAAUACUGGCGAGAGACCGAUAGCGAACAAGUACCGUGAGGGAAAGAUGAAAAGAACUUUGAAAAGAGAGUUAAACAGUACGUGAAAUUGUCAAAAGGGAAGCGUUUGACACCAGUGUUGUUUUCUCGAAAAUCAAUUAAAAAAGGCCGGAUUUUGUGUUGUAUUGACUUUAUCAGCUUUCUGCACUUUUUUCUUGUCUUUUUUAAUGCACUUUUCGUUUAACAAGUCAACAUCAAUUUCUUUUGUUGUAAAAGGGUCAUUGGAAGGUGGCUUUCUUUUCGGAGAAAGUGUUUAUAGCCUUUGGCCUCUGCAAUCGGAGAGAUUGAGGUCUGCAGCGUAGAUCCUUCGGGGUUAGAUACAUUUGUGCUAAGUUAUAGCCUUUCAUAGACAACUUGUUGACUAUGAUCAGUCAUGUAGCUUACUCGCUUAUGCUAUUU
This 1412-nucleotide unclassified non-coding RNA is filed under the name uncultured Neocallimastigales. RNAcentral describes it as "partial contains small subunit ribosomal RNA, internal transcribed spacer 1, 5.8S ribosomal RNA, internal transcribed spacer 2, and large subunit ribosomal RNA". The stretch from base 656 to 1412 matches the Rfam family "Eukaryotic large subunit ribosomal RNA", at positions 1 to 617 of the family's 3401-position model. The record is from RNAcentral. Lineage: Eukaryota; Fungi; Neocallimastigomycota; Neocallimastigomycetes; Neocallimastigales.